Molecule: transfer RNA, 62 nt
Filed under: Bacteroides hominis
Lineage: Bacteria; Pseudomonadati; Bacteroidota; Bacteroidia; Bacteroidales; Bacteroidaceae
Description: tRNA-Pro
Source: RNAcentral
AGCGCAGUCCGGUUAGCGCACCUGCUUUGGGAGCUAGGGGGUCGUGGGUUCGGAAUCCUGCA